This 613-nucleotide long non-coding RNA is filed under the name Pan troglodytes (chimpanzee). RNAcentral describes it as "lincRNA". The record is from RNAcentral. Lineage: Eukaryota; Metazoa; Chordata; Mammalia; Primates; Hominidae.
AGUACUGCUCUGUUAGCAGCAGGAGCAAAUGAAAGAAUUCAGUGUCAGCAUUUUCUGUUUCUCAUCUGACAAACAAGGUCAGGUACUUCUUUGAACAACCCAGUUCCAAUAGCUGUGAAACAUAAAGAGACAAGCAGGGGAAGAUUUUCCAGAAAGGCUGGUGGCUAGGCACAAGCAAAUUACACCAUUAAUGUCAUCCUGGCGAAUGAAACAAGAGAAUAGUAUUUAUCAGAGAAAGUCUGGUGAGUUGAAGUCCAAGACCCCAGGAAAAAACUAACCCUGCUGGGCUGCCCCUCCUUCGGAGUGGGACUAUGAUCCUCAUCAGGCCAAUCCACGUCACAGAAUGGUCUAGGCAUUGGAUGAGUGCCUCAAUCUGAGCCAAUGAAGGUCAUUGCUGAGACAUUUUACUGGUUGCCAGGCUGCAGGCAUCCCAGGCUUCCUGCUGCCCUCAUGUCUACAACCUGUCGUCUGGAACAUUCCAGGAGCCACUUUUAUCACUUGCAGCAAUCUUCUUCAAAUACCACAGACUGGGCAAUUUAUAAAUGAUGGAAGUUUAUUUGGCUCAUGGUUCUGGAGACUGGGAAGUCCAAGAACAUGGCACUGUCAUCUGGUG